UUCGGGUAAAGCAGAGCAAGAAGAAAGCUACAUCAAGUGUUUUUGGCACUGCUGUGAAUUUGCUAAUGGGCCUUUGCAAGUGUUUGAAAACGGAGUGUUGAAGGCUGAGGAGUGUUUCAGAUCCUGUUAUGGGGAAGAAGGCCCAGAGUAUCCAGAAGAGUACUGACCUCACAGUCAGAACACUGAGCAUCAGUGCACCAGAGGGCUGCCUCACGGUAGAACAUGAGCAGGUAAUGCACAAGGAGCACCACUGGGAAUCAUGUCAGACGAGUCAAUCUCAGGGAGUGAUCCGGACCUGGACCCGGACUUGGAGCAGGAGGAUAUGGAAGAGGAGGAGGAGGAAGAUGAGGAGGAGGCGAUGGAGGAGGACAAUGAUGGGGAUGAUGAGGAAGACUUACUUGAUGAAAGUGGACCCUGCAGCCAGUGGAGUAGGAGGAAGUGUGACGUGGUUGCCAAACUUUCAUUAA
This 467-nucleotide long non-coding RNA is filed under the name Cyanistes caeruleus (blue tit). RNAcentral's name for it is "lncRNA (ENSCCEG00000024329.1)". Lineage: Eukaryota; Metazoa; Chordata; Aves; Passeriformes; Paridae. The record is from RNAcentral.